CCGUAUCAAGAAAGAAAGAGAAAAGAAAAAGAACCAAAGAAAAAGAAAAGUCACCAUCGCACGGUUAAGUCUGCCUUGCUACAGCUAAACAGUGACUUCCUAGGACCAAGAAAUCGCAGCCAGGGCUAGACCGAUGCCCUAAAUCGGGACUUGCUUAGGCUGAGAAAUCACAUUUUGGCUAGUUAUUUGGACAAGAGGUAGAAAUAGCGGGCACCGCGAAAUCGAAACUUGCUAGGACCAAGAAGCCAACGACGGGCGAAACCGCAGGGGCCUGCGAUAGAGACGCCAGCGGCGCCGCCGGGGGACUGGGUUCAGGAGGCCGAGCAGGAACCCGUGCGUCGGCGCUCGCGGCGCUGUGAAGAGACGGCGUCCGCGCAGCUCCUCUGCCUCUGGCUCGGAGGAGCGGCGGGCUCCCCCGCCCAGCGCCGGCGUCGCCCGGGAACCCCAGACUCUGCGCAACUGGCUGCGAUUCCAAAUCCCUCAGAUCGGCUACCAGAGCGCUGCCGCCACCGAGAAAAUGGAGGCACCGAGGAACAAGAUGUGCCGCGACCAAGAGAACUCGGCUUGGCGAAAUGGCGGUGCUGGGACCCUAAGAGUGACGCCAGCCGGAGGAGUUCCCAAGGACAACAUCCAUUUUGGCGGAACCAACGGUGUUGUCACGCAGAAAAUGUCGACCCUCGGAAAAGAGAGGUUCUGCGACCGAGAAAUUCGGUGCAACAAGUGCUGUGACAGAAAACCCCCCGCUCGGCGCUGCUGGCGAAAGAGCCAACAAAACGCUGGGUGCUGCCACCGUGACACCGACUUUAGGACCCCGGCCUCGGAUGGAGAAAGGAGGGUACGGAGCCACCACAUAACUUCCUAAUGUCUUCAAAUAGCGAAAGUGCUAGCCGGAAACUGCCGGCUGGGUUUACCUAUUGGUGCUCGUGUGGGACUAGCAGAUUCGAGAAACCAGCGGGACUGGAACCUAGUACACUUCGGCAGUUGAGAAAUGACUUACCAGGACAAAUACUGCUUCUGGCUCGAUGGUGCUGCCCAUGAACAUCCGCCGGCUCUGAGAAACGAGCUGCACUGUCAGUGAGAAACCGUGGGCACUGAGAAACGAGCGGACUGCAACUGAUAACUGCCCACCCAGUGCCACUACGACAAAGUGCUGCUGGCACUACUCCCACCCUCCGUCCUCAAAUCAGUCCCCUCCCGCCUAAGAAGACCUUUAUUUUUCCUAGCGAAGUCAUACUGAGGGCCCCAUCAACCGAUCCCUUGCGAUGCGCAUGGGAAAAGGAGGCAGUAUAGGGACCGAGAAUCGGGCGGAUUGGGCUGGCCCUGGUAACAAAAGCCAUCCGGGUCGCCAACCGUCUUCCACUGCAAGAAACAAACCUUCCAGUGGCUGGGCUCCGCCCUUCUCCUUGGUCAGAGCCCUCCAGGCUCCUAAGGGCGAAGCCGACACCUCAUCCCUUUGGAACUUGAAGUUCUCAGUCCAAGACCUCCGUGGAGAGUGAAAGACUCAAUGCCUCCUGACCGAGGCUUCAGGCCUGCCCCGGCAGCUAGGUACCUCUCCAGGGGAUGGAACUCUGUGGGAACUGCUAUUUAAUUCUGAUGGUUAACUCUGUCAGAUGGCCUUGAUAUAUGGGAAUAAUCGUUGCAGGAGGGUAGGGGAAAUAAGAAUCGCAAGACUCUAGCACAGGACGUGUGGAUUGAUGGAAACCUGAAACUGCCAUUGAGCAGAAGGAAAACAUCCCUUUCCAGAACCUUUCUCGUUUUUCUAAAAAUCUGCACUUUUGGAAGUGAUCCCCCAAAGAGACCUCCAGACUCUACCAUGAGUGUCUCCAGCUGAACUCAUCGUGUCUAAUCCUCACCCUAGCUUAUCCUGUUCAAAUCAUUUCCAUCUUUUUCUGGAUGAACCUGGGCGGAUGUCAGACCAGAGAAGAGCACAGAAUGUACCAGAGAGAUGCGGUGAUGGGAGCCAUAUACACAAAGAUGAAGGACUGGCUACAGCUUUCACAGACCUUACAACCUACUGAGAGAGCAAAGACACAGUGAAGAGAUCAUUCAGAAUACAGUCCAACUCCAAGAUCAUUGGGAGAGCUUAUUUGAAGACCAGAAAGGUUACUGAACAUGGUGACUCUCUUCAAAGCCAGACCUUUGUCCUUGAAUUUAGGGCUUCAAAAAACAAUAGUAGGGCCGGGCGCAGUGGCUCAUGCCUGUAAUCCCAACACUUUGGGAGGCCAAGGUGGGCAGAUCACCUGAGGUCAGGAGUUCGAGACCGGCCUGGCCAAUAUGGUGAAACCCUGUCUCUACCAAAAAUACAAAAAAAAAAAAAAAUUACCUGGGCUUGGUGGGGGGUGCCUGUAAUCCCAGGUACUCAGGAGGCUGAGACAGGAGAAUUGCUUGAACCCGAGAGGCAGAGGCGGCAGUGAGCCGAGAACGCGCCAUUGCACUCUAGCCCGGGCGACAAGAGUGAAACUCCAUCUCAAAAACAAAAACAAAAAGAAAAACAAACAAACAAACAAACAAAAAAACAGUAGAAAACCUAAUGAGAAACCAUGGCACAGGAAAACAGAAUAGCAGAACGGUCAGAGGAAGCAUAGCACUAGAAGUUUACCUAUUUGAAAGAUUUAUGAGACACUUAAGACAGAAGAGCUCUGCCUGUCUGGUUAAAAUGGUGGGACAGACAAGAUUUAUUUGAGCUCAGCAGCACUUGAAGUCCACUGGAGAGGUGUAGAGCAGCUAGCCCAUGUUAUGGUUGCAAUGGAAAAAAGUCAAUAGGGUGAGAAUCAAGAAUGGAUCCAUCUUGUGGAUGAUGACAUCAUUCAGCAACAAGGUACAAUUGCUACAAUAGAGGAUCAUAUUUCCAAGCCAGGUCCAAAGAGGCAUCAGGGCUGUCAAGCUUAGGUAUAAAUGUUGACAGAAUCUUCCUUUGGAUUACCUAAGGCUCUGAAUUUCUGGGAAGAUCUUGAUGCCCUCUAACCCCAGCAAAUUGAUGCUAGCUAUACAUUGAAUCUGACAGUGGCAGCUCAAACAGAUUUUAAACACAUCUUGUAUGUAUCCAUUCAUACACAUUUACAUAUUAAAAACAUGUCUUCAAGUUUGAGCUUUCUUGGUGUAUCUCAGGUACCUUUUGACAUGGUUCUCUUUUUAUUGUAUGUACUAAUAGAGUGAGAACCUACUUAUUACUUGGGGGCUGCACCAAGCCAUUCAUGAUAGCUCGACCCCCAUGACCCAAACACCUCCCUUUAGG
RNAcentral lists this long non-coding RNA (3235 nucleotides) under Homo sapiens (human). RNAcentral's name for it is "non-protein coding lnc-ZNF131-2:10". Lineage: Eukaryota; Metazoa; Chordata; Mammalia; Primates; Hominidae. The record is from RNAcentral.